Molecule: non-coding RNA, 24 nt
Filed under: Arabidopsis thaliana (thale cress)
Lineage: Eukaryota; Viridiplantae; Streptophyta; Magnoliopsida; Brassicales; Brassicaceae
Source: RNAcentral
UAGUGACUGUUGGUUAUAGCAUGC